AACGAACGCUGGCGGCAUGCCUAACACAUGCAAGUCGAACGAGACCUUCGGGUCUAGUGGCGCACGGGUGCGUAACGCGUGGGAACCUGCCUUUAGGUUCGGAAUAACUCCCCGAAAGGGGUGCUAAUACCGGAUAAUGUCUUCGGACCAAAGAUUUAUCGCCUUUAGAUGGGCCCGCGUAAGAUUAGGUAGUUGGUGGGGUAAAGGCCUACCAAGCCGACGAUCUUUAGCUGGUCUGAGAGGAUGAUCAGCCACACUGGGACUGAGACACGGCCCAGACUCCUACGGGAGGCAGCAGUGGGGAAUAUUGGACAAUGGGCGAAAGACCUGAUCCAGCAAUGCCGCGUGAGUGAUGAAGGCCUUAGGGUUGUAAAGCUCUUUUACCAGGGAUGAUAAUGACAGUACCUGGAGAAUAAGCUCCGGCUAACUCCGUGCCAGCAGCCGCGGUAAUACGGAGGGAGCUAGCGUUGUUCGGAAUUACUGGGCGUAAAGCGCACGUAGGCGGCGAUUC
RNAcentral lists this ribosomal RNA (511 nucleotides) under uncultured bacterium. Its description in RNAcentral is "bacterial SSU rRNA". It matches the Rfam family "Bacterial small subunit ribosomal RNA", at positions 28 to 584 of the family's 1533-position model. The record is from RNAcentral.